This 72-nucleotide transfer RNA is filed under the name Ovis aries (sheep). It matches the Rfam family "tRNA". Rfam says of the family: Transfer RNA (tRNA) molecules are approximately 80 nucleotides in length. Lineage: Eukaryota; Metazoa; Chordata; Mammalia; Artiodactyla; Bovidae. The record is from Rfam by way of RNAcentral.
UCCCUGGUGGCUCAGACAGUAAAGAAUCUGCCUGCAAGGCAGGAGACCCAGGUUCCAUCCCUGGGUUGGGAA